This 498-nucleotide ribosomal RNA is filed under the name uncultured bacterium. RNAcentral describes it as "partial 16S ribosomal RNA". It matches the Rfam family "Bacterial small subunit ribosomal RNA", at positions 30 to 523 of the family's 1533-position model. The record is from RNAcentral.
AUUGAACGCUGGCGGCAUGCCUUACACAUGCAAGUCGAACGGUAACAGGUCUUCGGAUGCUGACGAGUGGCGAACGGGUGAGUAAUACAUCGGAACGUGCCUAGUAGUGGGGGAUAACUACUCGAAAGAGUGGCUAAUACCGCAUGAGAUCUACGGAUGAAAGCAGGGGAUCGCAAGACCUUGUGCUACUAGAGCGGCCGAUGGCAGAUUAGGUAGUUGGUGGGAUAAAAGCUUACCAAGCCGACGAUCUGUAGCUGGUCUGAGAGGACGAUCAUCAAACCUGGGACUGAGACACGGGCCAGACUCCUACGGGAGGCAGCAGUGGGGAAUUUUGGACAAUGGGCGAAAGCCUGAUCCAGCAAUGCCGCGUGCAGGAUGAAGGCCUUCGGGUUGUAAACUGCUUUUGUACGGAACGAAAAGCCCCGGGUUAAUACCCUGGGGUCAUGACGGUACCGUAAGAAUAAGCACCGGCUAACUACGUGCCAGCCACCGCCGUAA